AUCUGAAUUGAUUCAAUUCAGGUAAUUGCAGCUAGGAAAUCUUGGCCUAAGUUUGGAAUGUCCAAGGGAGAUAAACCAGGUUUCACGAGCUGGUAAAUAUUUGAAGAAUAAUCAACUUGUAAACAUUAGUUCAUUCACGGCUGCUAGGAAU
Molecule: long non-coding RNA, 151 nt
Organism: Eurytemora carolleeae
Lineage: Eukaryota; Metazoa; Arthropoda; Copepoda; Calanoida; Temoridae
Exons: 2
Source: RefSeq, a predicted model, not a curated record